CCAGCAGCACUGCUCUGUGCUCUGGGGACGUGCCAUGCUGUCACCACGCUCAGGUGUGCAGAGCCAGCUGCCAUCCAUGCUGUCAUAUCAGAAAAAAUUCAGAAUUAAAGCCACAUCAAGCCCAAGCUCAGAGAGAGUAAUUUGUGGUGUCCACAUUGAGCCCCCAGUUUAUGGCAUUAUUGCUCAGGGACUGUAAACAGGCAUCCUUCUGUGGCAGCAGCUGUUACCUGCAAACCAGCCUUCUUCUGCUAUGGAUUUUUGCCCUGGUGGGCUUAGAUAAAUAUCGUUCAAAUCAUGGAGUCUGAUUCGUGAGUCAGGACCAUGGCAGCCCUCCAAAACCUCCUGCCCAUGGAGUGUGUUUGUGUGAGAGGGAGAGAGAGUUUCACUGCAUGAAGAGUAAGAAACUGGAAGCCAAGUGAAUUAAAUACAAAGCAGAUAAUUAUGUGUAAUUCAUUUACUGACUAAUGAUUGCACCUUGGUAUGGAGGUUCAUGAAUUCAUUUGACUCUGCAAGGUUCUCAAGAACAAUCUCCCUGCUACAAGAUAAGAGCUGGCUGACUUGUUAACAGACCAGUGUUUACAUUAGUGUUAUUGUAAGAUUCUGCCUUUUUGGCUCAUUUCACAUUUUACCUCACGGCCAUUCACUUUUCCUGGGUCCAUCUGGUGUCUCUGACAGUUUCAAUAGCUCAGUGCUGGUCAAGGCUGGCUGUCACUGCAGACUGAAGGCAUCAUCUGCUCCUGGG
This is a long non-coding RNA of Parus major (Great Tit), 742 nucleotides long. RefSeq lists it as uncharacterized. The record is from RefSeq and is a predicted model, not a curated record. The transcript is spliced from 4 exons. NCBI's taxonomy places the organism in Eukaryota, Metazoa, Chordata, Aves, Passeriformes, Paridae.